This 67-nucleotide transfer RNA is filed under the name Chrysochloris asiatica (Cape golden mole). RNAcentral's name for it is "tRNA-Trp". Lineage: Eukaryota; Metazoa; Chordata; Mammalia; Afrosoricida; Chrysochloridae. The record is from RNAcentral.
AGGGGUUUAGGUUCAUUCAGACCAAAAGCCUUCAAAGCUUUAAGAAAGUGAUAUCACUUAACCCCUG